CAGCAGCCGCGGUAAUACGAAGGGUGCAAGCGUUAAUCGGAAUUACUGGGCGUAAAGCGUGCGUAGGCGGUUUGUUAAGUCUGCUGUGAAAUCCCCGGGCUCAACCUGGGGAUGGCAGUGGAUACUGGCAAGCUAGAGUGUGUCAGAGGAUGGUGGAAUUCCCGGUGUAGCGGUGAAAUGCGUAGAGAUCGGGAGGAACAUCAGUGGCGAAGGCGGCCAUCUGGGACAACACUGACGCUGAGGCACGAAAGCGUGGGGAGCAAACAGGAUUAGAUACCCCAGUAGUCCCUGUCUCUUAUAC
Molecule: ribosomal RNA, 301 nt
Filed under: uncultured bacterium
Lineage: Bacteria
Description: partial 16S ribosomal RNA
Rfam family: Bacterial small subunit ribosomal RNA
Source: RNAcentral